GAAGUGCGAUAAGCAGUGCGAAUUGCAGAACCGUGAGUCAUCAGAUUUUUGAACGCAACUGGCGCCGGUUGGUAUCCCAGCCGGCAUGCUUGUUUCAGUGUCUUGUUAACUCCUCACCCAUACCUUAAUGCGAGAGAUACCCUUCUCUUGUUAAGCAUGAAAGCACUCUGCACUCUGCAGGCGAUCUCGGCUAUGUCGAGGGUCGCACUCAAUGCAGCAGUCACAUUGAUAACAGUGUGAACUCAUUGAGAGUAGAGUCAGUGCAGGCUUGCCUGCCAGUGCUUAGACACACCAACUUUCAUUGCAUCUGAAAUCAAGCAGGAUCACCCGCUGAACUUAA
This 340-nucleotide unclassified non-coding RNA is filed under the name uncultured fungus. Its description in RNAcentral is "sequence contains ITS1". The stretch from base 1 to 103 matches the Rfam family "5.8S ribosomal RNA", at positions 50 to 154 of the family's 154-position model. Lineage: Eukaryota; Fungi. The record is from RNAcentral.